This 454-nucleotide long non-coding RNA is filed under the name Capsella rubella. Its description in RNAcentral is "long non-coding RNA (CRUB_LNC003277)". Lineage: Eukaryota; Viridiplantae; Streptophyta; Magnoliopsida; Brassicales; Brassicaceae. The record is from RNAcentral.
CAUGCUUCUUCCUUUGUUAAUUGUUCUUUCUUCUUCAGUUCUUCCUCUAAAAAAACUUCAAAUCUUCUUCCUCUUUAAAAACUCUUGCUUUGAAGUAUCUUUAUCCUUCUUCACCGCAAGAAUUUCUUAAGUAUGAAAACCAAUAAACACACAAUGAGAAAAAGAAGAAGAAGAAAGGGUUUAGAAGAUGAACUUAUCGAAAUGAUUUUCUAGAAAUGUAAACUUAUAUAUAACUUGAUUCACCUGGAGUUGUAUGGUUGGAAAAUAAAAUUUCUUUGAAAAUUUUCAGAGAAGAGUUUUUGUCGUAUGAUGAUUUUCAUAUUUUUUGUUUGUGUUUUGUGAAAUGGAAAGAAAAGUUUUAGAAAAUAUUUAUACAUAAAAGGAGUUAUCUGAUAUUUAGAGAUCGUGGGUUAGUUGGUGAUAUUUUGAUUUUUUAUUUUAUUUUUAAUAAAAC